Saimiri boliviensis boliviensis (Bolivian squirrel monkey) is the source of this 381-nucleotide non-coding RNA. NCBI's taxonomy places the organism in Eukaryota, Metazoa, Chordata, Mammalia, Primates, Cebidae. The record is from RefSeq and is a predicted model, not a curated record.
UCGGCCUCCCAAAGCGCUGGGAUUACAGGUGUGAGCCACCAUGCUUGUCCAAGUUUCUUAAUACAAGGUAAAUUAUGAUACUCCAGAUGACUAUGGAGUCAAGAGAUCCUUAUAUCUGCACCUGUCUGGCCCCGGCUCCAUUAAGGAAGGAAGUGCUAUAUGAAGAAGUCAUUCCCUAAAAUCUGUGUUCAGACACUCUGUGGACAGACUUCUCAAAGGAGGACGGGGUGCGGCAGCAAGGACUGAGACUCAGGAUCAACCAGAACACCUUGAGGAUUGUGACCCUGUGACCAUAUGUACUUGCCAUCCAUUCCUGCUAGCAUCUUUGAAAUACGAAGCAACAAAAUGACCAGGAAGUUUGAGAAAUGAAUCCUUAGUAAA